RNAcentral lists this unclassified non-coding RNA (279 nucleotides) under plant metagenome. RNAcentral's name for it is "partial contains small subunit ribosomal RNA, internal transcribed spacer 1, and 5.8S ribosomal RNA". The record is from RNAcentral.
UCUCCGUUGGUGAACCAGCGGAGGGAUCAUUACUGGAUUCUAAAGCUCCUAAAACCUCUGUGAACUUACCGACUGUUUCUCCCGCCGGGCGCCCCCCGCGGCGUCCCCGCCGGCAUUAUCAGACUCUCUCCUCGAACCCUACGAUCCACCUGGGUGUUCUAAGCGACCUGAAAAAACUUUCAACAUCCGAUCACUUGGCUCCAGCAUCUAUGAAGAACGAAGCAGAUCGGAGGAGCGCACAUCAGAACUCCAGACACCUAUCGAGCAUUCGUAUGCCGU